UGACUAUAAGGAUAGGCACUCCACACCAU
Molecule: small RNA, 29 nt
Filed under: Bombyx mori (domestic silkworm)
Lineage: Eukaryota; Metazoa; Arthropoda; Insecta; Lepidoptera; Bombycidae
Description: ovarian small RNA-31893
Source: RNAcentral